UACGGGAGGCAGCAGUGGGGAAUAUUGCACAAUGGGCGCAAGCCUGAUGCAGCCAUGCCGCGUGUAUGAAGAAGGCCUUCGGGUUGUAAAGUACUUUCAGUCGUGAGGAAGGUGUUAAGGUUAAUAACCUUAGCAAUUGACGUUAGCGACAGAAGAAGCACCGGCUAACUCCGUGCCAGCAGCCGCGGUAAUACGGAGGGUGCGAGCGUUAAUCGGAAUUACUGGGCGUAAAGGGCACGCAGGCGGUUAAUUAAGUUGGAUGUGAAAUCCCCGGGCUUAACCUGGGAAUGGCAUUCAAGACUGGUUAGCUAGAGUCUUGUAGAGGGGGUAGGAAUUCCAUGUGUAGCGGUGAAAUGCGUAGAGAUGUGGAGGAAUACCGGUGGCGAAGGCGGCCCCUCGGACAAAGACUGACGCUCAUGUGCGAAAGCGUGGGGAGCAAACAGGGAUUAGAUACC
Molecule: ribosomal RNA, 455 nt
Filed under: uncultured bacterium
Lineage: Bacteria
Description: bacterial SSU rRNA
Rfam family: Bacterial small subunit ribosomal RNA
Source: RNAcentral